Long non-coding RNA from Drosophila yakuba, 1257 nucleotides. RefSeq lists it as uncharacterized. The transcript has 3 exons. The record is from RefSeq and is a predicted model, not a curated record. Lineage: Eukaryota; Metazoa; Arthropoda; Insecta; Diptera; Drosophilidae.
ACUAAUAACUAAGUGAAUUCGCACAAUGAAGACGUUAAAAAACGGAAAUUAAAUAAGCAUAGCCAAAAUUUUUAUUUUGGAUCGACAACAGAGUCCCCUGCAAUAUAUGCGAGAAACCCACCAAAACGACCGGCAAUUCGUCAAAUCUUUUGUCAGUCUUCAAAAAAAAACAUCAAGAUGCGUAUUUUAAUAAUGUAAUAAUAAAAAGCGCCGCUGUAUACUGCUGUAAGAAUGAAACAAGUAAGCUUUUUAAAAUUUAGGUGCGCAUACCAUUCAGACGAUUUUGUGAAAGACAUAGUUAACAACAUUUUAACGCACUUUAAACACAGCCCAGCAGCUGUGGACAUGCUACGUAAGUUGCACGAAGAUGAUGGCAUAUCAGAUGGUCGGAUUAAGACACUGGUGCAAAGUGUUGAGAAAUUAUGGAAUUCUUGUCUAGUUAUGAUAACAUGAUUUCUAAGUCUAUCAAAUAAAAUACCAAUCGUCCUAAUAAGUCUAUCAUCUUCUGUAAAAGGCUUGCCAAUAAAAGAUGGUUUUUGUUAAUGUUUUAAUUGCGGAAUAAACGUAAUCUAAAAUAGUAUACUUAUUUCCCGAUUGUUACGCCUCCAUAUGUCAAUGACGUCCCUAAUAUCCUAUCCCUAUAUCCCUAUCCAGUAACACGAACUUGCCUAAAUAAUAUUAAAUUGUUUGAAAACGAGCAAAAAAAAGACAAAUUACUUCGCCAUCGAAAACAAUAGUUAAAGGUACAAAGUGACGUUUUUAACUUUUGUCAGAAAAUUAUUUAUACUCCACGAAACACAGGGGACACGUUAGAAUUUCAUGUUUAAAUACACAUAAAUUGGAUGUUUAGAAACACAAAAACAGUACAACUACACAUGUAUUAACUACAUACGUUAAGAACUACAGACUUUGACCUUUAUUUUCCAUAUUUUACUAUAAUUAAUUGAUGUGUAUUAAAAUCGUAUUACGUGCAAAAGUAAUCAAAUAAUUUGUCGCGAAUUGCCUUCUCGCAAUCAGCUGUUCAACACUGCACUUUUAAAAGUGCAUAAAAGGCUUUAGUGAGGGUUUCGGUCCAUAUUGUUUUUGUUUUUUAUUUAUAUGAUCAUUUUACUUUUAGCAAACUAUUGGUAAAGGACAUACAAAUUUAGACUUUAUGCCAAAAAAAAAAAAAAUGAAUUCUGGACCAUUGUGCAAUGAAGAAAUUAAAAGGAUCGUAAAUUUUGAACGGGAUGUUUCAACUGAUGAAGAACGUGAAAA